RNAcentral lists this ribosomal RNA (445 nucleotides) under uncultured bacterium. RNAcentral's name for it is "partial 16S ribosomal RNA". It matches the Rfam family "Bacterial small subunit ribosomal RNA", at positions 354 to 796 of the family's 1533-position model. The record is from RNAcentral.
GUGAGGAAUAUUGGACAAUGGGCGCAAGCCUGAUCCAGCCAUGCCGCGUGCAGGAAGACGCAUCUAUGGUGUGUAAACUGCUUUUGUACGGGAAGAAACACUCCCUCGUGAGGGAGCUUGACGAUACCGUAAGAAUAAGGAUCGGCUAACUCCGUGCCAGCAGCCGCGGUAAUACGGAGGAUCCAAGCGUUAUCCGGAAUCAUUGGGUUUAAAGGGUCCGUAGGCGGUUUAAUAAGUCAGUGGUGAAAGCCCAUCGCUCAACGAUGGAACGGCCAUUGAUACUGUUAGACUUGAAUUACAAGGAAGUAACUAGAAUAUGUAGUGUAGCGGUGAAAUGCUUAGAUAUUACAUGGAAUACCAAUUGCGAAGGCAGGUUACUACUUGUGGAUUGACGCUGAUGGACGAAAGCGUGGGGAGCGAACAGGAUUAGAUACCCCUGUAGUCC